RNAcentral lists this unclassified non-coding RNA (208 nucleotides) under Glomus sp. Its description in RNAcentral is "partial contains 5.8S ribosomal RNA and internal transcribed spacer 2". The stretch from base 1 to 65 matches the Rfam family "5.8S ribosomal RNA", at positions 84 to 154 of the family's 154-position model. Lineage: Eukaryota; Fungi; Glomeromycota; Glomeromycetes; Glomerales; Glomeraceae. The record is from RNAcentral.
GUGAAUCAUCGAAUUUUUGAACGCAAAUUGCACUCUCUUCUGAUAGUAUGCCUAUUUGAGGGUCAGCCUAAAAAAAAUCUACAUAGUCACUGUUUUCGCGGUGACAUUCGUCGGAAAUUGGGUCAUGUUAAACUUGUGGGUUUUAAGCGGCUCAAAAUUUUCUUUACGCAGUAUACGAGCGUUUCGAUGAUUUACUUCUUACACACGU